CCUACGGGAGGCAGCAGUGGGGAAUAUUGCGCAAUGGGCGAAAGCCUGACGCAGCGACGCCGCGUGAGGGAUGAAGGUCUUCGGAUCGUAAACCUCUGUCAGCAGGGAAGAACGGUCACUGUGCUAAUCAGCAGUGAAUUGACGGUACCUGCAAAGGAAGCACCGGCUAACUCCGUGCCAGCAGCCGCGGUAAUACGGAGGGUGCGAGCGCUAAUCGGAAUUACUGGGCGUAAAGCGCUCGUAGGCGGUAUGUCAAGUCAAGGGGGAAAUCCCCGCGCUCAACGUGGGAACUGCCUUUGAAACUGGCAAACUGGAGUGUGUGAGAGGAUAGUGGAAUUCCAGGUGUAGGAGUGAAAUCCGUAGAUAUCUGGAGGAACAUCAGUGGCGAAGGCGACUAUCUGGCACAUAACUGACGCUGAGGAGCGAAAGCGUGGGUAGCAAACAGGAUUAGAUACCCCAGUAGUC
This 465-nucleotide ribosomal RNA is filed under the name uncultured bacterium. RNAcentral's name for it is "partial 16S ribosomal RNA". It matches the Rfam family "Bacterial small subunit ribosomal RNA", at positions 338 to 795 of the family's 1533-position model. The record is from RNAcentral.